Molecule: RNA transcript, 2438 nt
Organism: Arachis duranensis
Lineage: Eukaryota; Viridiplantae; Streptophyta; Magnoliopsida; Fabales; Fabaceae
Gene name: aldehyde dehydrogenase 22A1
Exons: 15
Source: RefSeq, a predicted model, not a curated record
GACUCCUCGAGUUAUGCCAGACCCGAUAGAGAAGUAAAGUGCGAUAAAAAAAAAGACGAACGGAAUUGGAAUCUGAUUUUGUUUCUUUCCUUGGUGCUAUGAGCGACCUCCAAUUUUAAUUGUGAUUUCAAUGCUAUAAAUAGUUCAAAACGCUGCUUGUUCUCAAAAAUUGAAAAUUCUCAAAUAUACAAGACUAAGCCACUUCCACAGUUCCACGCAUUUUCACUUCACUGACUUUGGAGCUUUGUCUUGAAUAGAACUCUCCAGAAACUUUAGGCGCUAGUAAGAGCUUCUUCCGAAGCCCUAGCGAGCAAGUAGAAAGAUAUUCGCGCUGAAUCUGCGAGUUUCCGAUGGCGUUUUGGUGGCCAUUGCUUGUCUUAGCAUUCGCGUACGGACUCUGCAGGUUCCUUUUCAUGCUUAUUCCUCCCAAGGUUCCUUCCAUCGAUGUUGAAGCUUCCGACGUGUUGGAUGAUGGAAACCAAGCGCAGGAGAAUAGCUUCAUAUAUGUUCCUCCGAGAGGAACGUCACAGCAAUCUGGAAAGAUAGUUCAGUGCUAUGAGCCUGCGACUAUGAAAUAUUUAGGAUAUGUUCCUGCAUUGACGCGUGAUGAGGUCAAGGAUCGUGUGGCAAAAGUAAGAAAGGCUCAAAAAAUGUGGGCAAAGACCAGCUUCAAGCAAAGACGCACGUUUUUGCGUAUACUGUUGAAAUAUAUAAUCAAACAUCAAACGCUCAUAUGCGAAAUAUCUUCGCGUGAUACUGGAAAGACCAUGGUAGAUGCCUCUUUAGGAGAAAUUAUGACAACUUGUGAAAAGAUCAAUUGGCUACUGUCAGAAGGCGAACAGUGGCUAAAGCCUGAAUACCGGUCUUCUGGAAGAUCAAUGCUUCACAAGAGAGCAAAAGUAGAAUUCCACCCCCUUGGUGUUAUUGGUGCCAUCGUUUCAUGGAAUUAUCCUUUCCACAAUAUUUUUAAUCCAAUGCUGACAGCUGUUUUUUCUGGAAAUGGCAUUGUGAUUAAGAUAUCAGAACAUGCAAGUUGGUCUGGAUGCUUUUACUUCCGGAUAAUCCAAUCUGCCCUUGCUGCAAUAGGAGCGCCUGAGGACCUUGUUGAGGUCAUAACAGGAUUUGCUGAAACUGGAGAAGCGUUGGUAUCUUCUGUUGAUAAAGUCAUAUUUGUUGGAUCACCUGGUGCGGGGAAGAUGAUAAUGAGAAAUGCUGCUGAGACACUUAUUCCAGUUACUCUAGAGCUUGGUGGCAAAGAUGUAUUUAUUGUUUGUGAUGAUGUAGAUGUGGACCAUGUUGCGCAAAUUGCUGUCAGGGCUGUUCUUCAGUCAAGUGGACAGAACUGUGCUGGGGCUGAGAGAUUUUAUGUCCACAGGGAGAUUUAUUCUUCUUUUGUCAGUAAAGUUACCAAAAUCAUAAAAUCAGUUAGAGCUGGCCCACCACUUGCUGGAAAGUAUGAUAUGGGAGCUUUAUGCAUGCAUGAGCAUUCUGAAAAGCUUGAGGGCCUUAUCAAUGAUGCUUUAGACAAAGGAGCCGAGAUCGUUGCUCGUGGAAGUUUUGGACAUAUAGGUGAAGAUGCUGUUGAUCAAUAUUUUCCCCCUACUGUGAUUGUGAAUGUGAACCACUCAAUGAGACUGAUGCAAGAAGAGGCAUUUGGACCAAUCAUGCCAAUAAUGAAAUUUAGCUCUGACGAGGAGGUUGUCAAGCUCGCAAAUGACUCAAAAUAUGGGCUUGGCUGCGCUGUUUUCUCAGGUUCUCAGGACCGUGCUAGAGAUAUAGCUUCACAAAUACAUUGUGGGGUUGCUGCCGUUAAUGACUUUGCAGCAACGUACAUGUGUCAGUCCCUGCCAUUCGGCGGCGUAAAACAUAGUGGAUUUGGACGAUUCGGUGGUGUAGAAGGUUUGCGAGCCUGCUGUCUUGUCAAGGCAGUUGUCGAAGAUAGAUGGUGGCCAUUUGUCAAAACCAAGAUACCUAAACCUAUUCAGUAUCCUGUCGCAGAGAAUGCAUUCGAAUUUCAGGAAUCACUGGUGGAAGCACUUUAUGGACUCAACAUAUGGGAACGUUUGCAAGCAUUAGUAAAUGUUUUGAAGAUGCUUACUGAGCAGAACCCUGCCGCUGAAAGCAUUAAGAAGAAAAAUAACUAGGUGCGAGGUAUCUUAAUAUAGUAAAGUGGUGGUUACUUGCUAAUUGCUAUUGCCAUUUACAAAUCAUGUCGAAGAGACGAAAUGAAUGGGGAGCAUGGGGUUUACCAUUUACCUGGAGAUUUGGGUUGUCAUUUGUCUCCAAUCUUCCCCUGGGUUGGGAUUGAGAGUGGAGGAAGUGGCCUGCAUAAGUAAAAUGGAAUUUACUCUAUAAGUCAUUCCUUUCUCUUCUUUUUUUUUGCAAAAUCUCGAUUCAUAAACUCAUUCUUAAUUUCAACAAAAAAUAGUUUUUUAUAU